AUUUUUUUGACUGUAAUUUUAUA
This 23-nucleotide microRNA is filed under the name Aedes aegypti (yellow fever mosquito). RNAcentral's name for it is "Aae-Mir-11900_3p (mature (guide))". Lineage: Eukaryota; Metazoa; Arthropoda; Insecta; Diptera; Culicidae. The record is from RNAcentral.